Molecule: unclassified non-coding RNA, 229 nt
Filed under: plant metagenome
Description: partial contains small subunit ribosomal RNA, internal transcribed spacer 1, and 5.8S ribosomal RNA
Source: RNAcentral
UCUCCGUAGGUGAACCUGCGGAGGGAUCAUUACAGAGUUCAUGCCCUACCGGGUAGAUCUCCCACCCUAUGUUAUUAUUACUUUGUUGCUUUGGCGGGCCGUUAGGCUCCGGCCCGACUACCGGCCCCGGCUGGUAAGCGCCCGCCAGAGGACCCAAAACCCUGAAUAUUAGUGUCGUCUGAGUACUAUAUAAUAGCUAAAACUUUCAACAAAGGAUCUCUUGGUUCUG